This 254-nucleotide ribosomal RNA is filed under the name uncultured bacterium. RNAcentral describes it as "partial 16S ribosomal RNA". It matches the Rfam family "Bacterial small subunit ribosomal RNA", at positions 524 to 776 of the family's 1533-position model. The record is from RNAcentral.
GACGAACCGUGCGAACGUUAUUCGGAAUCACUGGGCUUAAAGCGCGUGUAGGCGGAUGGGGACGUCGGUCGCUGAAAGCCCCCGGCUCAACCGGGGAACGGGCGCCGAAACGCCCCGUCUCGAGGGACGGAGGGGGACCUGGAACUUCCGGUGGAGCGGUGAAAUGCGUUGAGAUCGGAAGGAACGCCCGUGGCGAAGGCGGCGACCUGGGUAGAUACUGACGCUGAGGCGCGAAAGCGUGGGGAGCGAACGGG